Molecule: ribosomal RNA, 253 nt
Filed under: uncultured bacterium
Lineage: Bacteria
Description: partial 16S ribosomal RNA
Rfam family: Bacterial small subunit ribosomal RNA
Source: RNAcentral
UACAGAGGUGGCAAGCGUUGUUCGGAAUUACUGGGCGUAAAGGGCGCGUAGGCGGCCUUCUAAGUCAGACGUGAAAUCCCCCGGCUUAACCUGGGAACUGCGUCUGAUACUGGAGGGCUUGAGUGCGGGAGAGGGAUGUGGAAUUCCAGGUGUAGCGGUGAAAUGCGUAGAUAUCUGGAGGAACACCGGUGGCGAAGGCGGCAUCCUGGACCCUUUCUGACGCUGAGGCGCGAAAGCCAGGGGAGCGAACGGG